Molecule: ribosomal RNA, 172 nt
Filed under: Bokermannohyla itapoty
Lineage: Eukaryota; Metazoa; Chordata; Amphibia; Anura; Hylidae
Description: partial 16S ribosomal RNA
Source: RNAcentral
ACGUGAUCUGAGUUCAGACCGGAGAAAUCCAGGUUGGUUUCUAUCUAUAAAGGGGUUUUUCUAGUACGAAAGGACCGAAAAAGCAUGGCCAAUGACCAAUUAAGCCAUAAGCCAACUUUUGAAUUCAACUCAACUAGUAAUUAUCCUACUACUUUAACUUUAAAAAAAAGUG